CAACGCCGCGUGGGCGAAGAAGGUCUUCGGAUCGUAAAGCCCUUUUCUCCCGGACGAGGAAGGACGGUACGGGAGGAAUAAGUGUCGGCUAACUACGUGCCAGCAGCCGCGGUAAAACGUAGGACGCAAGCGUUAUCCGGAUUUAUUGGGCGUAAAGGGCGUCUAGGCGGCGUCUUAAGUUGGGCGUGAAAUCUUCCGGCUCAACCGGAAGGGUGCGUCCAAUACUNGGACGCUUGAGGGCAGCAGGGGGAGGUGGAAUUCCCGGAGUAGCVGUGGAAUGCGUAGAUAUCGGGAGGAACACCAGUGGCGAAGGCGGCCUCCUGGGCU
RNAcentral lists this ribosomal RNA (327 nucleotides) under uncultured Chloroflexota bacterium. Its description in RNAcentral is "bacterial SSU rRNA". It matches the Rfam family "Bacterial small subunit ribosomal RNA", at positions 392 to 735 of the family's 1533-position model. The record is from RNAcentral. Lineage: Bacteria; Bacillati; Chloroflexota.